Molecule: long non-coding RNA, 771 nt
Filed under: Gadus morhua (Atlantic cod)
Lineage: Eukaryota; Metazoa; Chordata; Actinopteri; Gadiformes; Gadidae
Description: lncRNA (ENSGMOG00000025931.1)
Source: RNAcentral
CUCAGGUCGAAGAGAAGGUGACCCAUCUGAAUAUCAACACCGAAGAAGAGAGGGGGAGACGUGGGGCAGCUCUUUCCACCCUCACCUUAUGGGGACGUUUUCAGAUGUCAUGGAGCCCUAGAUUGAUGGCCUCAUUCAGCACCUGGAGCUGAGGUUCCAGCAGCUUGGAAUUCUUGGUGAAUUUAGUGCUCUGGGACCACAAGGACCAAAAGGUGAUGAGAGUCGUGCCAUCUCAGACCUACAAAUGCUGGCCUAGCAGUUCCCACCCAUCAACGAGAAGGCACUUCUCCAAGAAUGGCAGAGCUUUAAAGUGCUCACAACAACUGGGAUUUUAAAAUCCCAGCUCGAUAUGAUGAGUGAUAUGGCAUCUGGGUAUGAUUUGCUACAUCUGCUCUACCCAAACCUGUCCCUCCUAUCAGCAAUCGCCCUCACAAUACCGGUCUCAAGUGUGAAUUGUGAGAGGGAUUUCUCUGCGAUGAAUAGGAUCAAGACAGACCUGCGGAACAGGCUGCAGGGCAACAGUCUGACAGCCUGCAUGAGAAUCAGUAUUAAUGGUCCACCUAUGAAAGAGUUUAAUUACAACAGGGCCCUUGAGUUGUUCUUUGUUGAACCAAGGAGGAUAGCCUGUAGCGAUACUACAUGUCAGCUCAUCCAUAAGUAGUGACUGACAACCUUUGCACAUGUUUUGCACUUUCUUUAGUUAAAAUUGCACAAAUUGCAAUAUAAAUAAAGUGCUGUUCAGCACUUUAUUUAUAUUUGCAGAUGUUAUUU